RNAcentral lists this ribosomal RNA (452 nucleotides) under uncultured organism. RNAcentral describes it as "partial 16S ribosomal RNA". It matches the Rfam family "Bacterial small subunit ribosomal RNA", at positions 331 to 799 of the family's 1533-position model. The record is from RNAcentral.
GUACACUCCUACGGGAGGCAGCAGUGGGGAAUAUUGGACAAUGGGCGCAAGCCUGAUCCAGCCAUGCCGCGUGAGUGAUGAAGGCCCUAGGGUUGUAAAGCUCUUUCACCGGUGAAGAUAAUGACGGUAACCGGAGAAGAAGCCCCGGCUAACUUCGUGCCAGCAGCCGCGGUAAUACGAAGGGGGCUAGCGUUGUUCGGAUUUACUGGGCGUAAAGCGCACGUAGGCGGACUAUUAAGUCAGGGGUGAAAUCCCGGGGCUCAACCCCGGAACUGCCUUUGAUACUGGUAGUCUUGAGUUCGAGAGAGGUGAGUGGAAUUCCGAGUGUAGAGGUGAAAUUCGUAGAUAUUCGGAGGAACACCAGUGGCGAAGGCGGCUCACUGGCUCGAUACUGACGCUGAGGUGCGAAAGCGUGGGGAGCAAACAGGAUUAGAAACCCUAGUAGUCCCAUG